This 497-nucleotide ribosomal RNA is filed under the name uncultured bacterium. RNAcentral's name for it is "partial 16S ribosomal RNA". It matches the Rfam family "Bacterial small subunit ribosomal RNA", at positions 28 to 507 of the family's 1533-position model. The record is from RNAcentral.
GAUGAACGCUGGCGGCGUGCCUAAUACAUGCAAGUAGAACGCUGAAGCUUGGUGCUUGCACCGAGCGGAUGAGUUGCGAACGGGUGAGUAACGCGUAGGUAACCUGCCUCUUAGCGGGGGAUAACUAUUGGAAACGAUAGCUAAUACCGCAUAAAAGUCGAUAUCGCAUGAUAUUGAUUUGAAAGGUGCAAAUGCAUCACUAAGAGAUGGACCUGCGUUGUAUUAGCUAGUUGGUGAGGUAACGGCUCACCAAGGCGACGAUACAUAGCCGACCUGAGAGGGUGAUCGGCCACACUGGGACUGAGACACGGCCCAGACUCCUACGGGAGGCAGCAGUAGGGAAUCUUCGGCAAUGGGGGCAACCCUGACCGAGCAACGCCGCGUGAGUGAAGAAGGUUUUCGGAUCGUAAAGCUCUGUUGUAAGAGAAGAACGAGUGCGAGAGUGGAAAGUUCACACUGUGACGGUAACUUACCAGAAAGAGACGGCUAACUACGUG